This 485-nucleotide ribosomal RNA is filed under the name Brevibacillus laterosporus. RNAcentral's name for it is "partial 23S ribosomal RNA". It matches the Rfam family "Bacterial large subunit ribosomal RNA", at positions 2438 to 2925 of the family's 2925-position model. Lineage: Bacteria; Bacillati; Bacillota; Bacilli; Caryophanales; Paenibacillaceae. The record is from RNAcentral.
AGGGCCAUCGCUCAACGGAUAAAAGCUACCCCGGGGUUAACAGGCUUAUCUCCCCCAAGAGUCCACAUCGACGGGGAGGUUUGGCACCUCGAUGUCGGCUCAUCGCAUCCUGGGGCUGUAGUCGGUCCCAAGGUUUGGGCUGUUCGCCCAUUAAAGCGGUACGCGAGCUGGGUUCAGAACGUCGUGAGACAGUUCGGUCCCUAUCCGUCGUGGGCGUAGGAAAUUUGAGAGGAGCUGUCCUUAGUACGAGAGGACCGGGAUGGACAUACCUCUGGUGUACCAGUUGUCGUGCCAACGGCAUAGCUGGGUAGCUAUGUAUGGACGGGAUAAGUGCUGAAAGCAUCUAAGCAUGAAGCCCCCCUCAAGAUGAGAUUUCCCAACUUCGGUUAUAAGAUCCCUCAGAGAUGAUGAGGUUAAUAGGUUCGAGGUGGAAGCGUGGUGACACGUGGAGCUGACGAAUACUAAUCGAUCGAAGACUUAAUCAA